UUUGACUUGCUGGCAAUUUAAAUAGCCACAUGAUCUGCUACUUGUUUCUUCAUGCCUUUCCACCAAUACAACUCUUUCAAAUCUAGAUACAUUUUGGUAGCACCUGGGUGGAUAAAUUACCUCGAACUGUGAGCUUCAUCCAUUAUGCCCUUCCUAAGACAACCUACAUCAUGCACACAUAACCGAUCAUUCAACUUCAAAACUCCAUCACUUCCUAGAGUGAAAGCAAUGAUUUCUUGGUUUCUAACUCCUUUUUUAAUUUCACUAAGUACAAAUCUUCGUCUUGCUUAGCCUUAACAUGUG
Molecule: long non-coding RNA, 303 nt
Filed under: Nicotiana benthamiana
Lineage: Eukaryota; Viridiplantae; Streptophyta; Magnoliopsida; Solanales; Solanaceae
Description: long non-coding RNA (NBEN_LNC022379)
Source: RNAcentral